This 505-nucleotide ribosomal RNA is filed under the name uncultured bacterium. Its description in RNAcentral is "partial 16S ribosomal RNA". It matches the Rfam family "Bacterial small subunit ribosomal RNA", at positions 28 to 507 of the family's 1533-position model. The record is from RNAcentral.
GACGAACGCUGGCGGCGUGCCUAAUACAUGCAAGUAGAACGCACAGUUUAUACCGUAGCUUGCUACACCAUAAACUGUGAGUUGCGAACGGGUGAGUAACGCGUAGGUAACCUGCCUGGUAGCGGGGGAUAACUAUUGGAAACGAUAGCUAAUACCGCAUAAUAUUAAUUAUUGCAUGAUAAUUGAUUGAAAGAUGCAAUUGCAUCACUACCAGAUGGACCUGCGUUGUAUUAGCUAGUAGGUGAGGUAACGGCUCACCUAGGCGACGAUACAUAGCCGACCGGAGAGGGUGAGCGGCCACACUGGGAGGGAGACACGGCCCAGAGGGCUACGGGAGGCAGCAGGAGGGAAUCUGCGGGAAGGGGCGAAAGUCUGACCGAGCAAGGCCGCGGGAGGGAAGAGGGGUGUCGGAUCGGAAAGCUCGGUUGUAAGAGAAGAACGGGUGUGAGAGUGGAAAGUUCACACUGUGACGGUAUCUUACCAGAAAGGGACGGCUAACUACGUG